This 1571-nucleotide ribosomal RNA is filed under the name metagenome. RNAcentral's name for it is "eukaryotic LSU rRNA". It matches the Rfam family "Eukaryotic large subunit ribosomal RNA", at positions 1773 to 3401 of the family's 3401-position model. The record is from RNAcentral.
CUCAGCGCCGUUCGGAGCCUUGAUUAUCCUCAUGGAAGACCUUCCUGAGAUCUCCUUCCCUCACGGAUGGACCGUACCGAUAACCGCAUCCGGACUCCGAGGUGAAUAGCCUCUGGUCCAUGGAGCAAUGUGACCAAGGGAAGUCGGCAAAAUAGACGCGUAACUUCGGGAGAAGCGUUGGCUCCAAGGGCUGGAUGUCAGAAGCCAGCAGCUUUGACGGAUCUGGGCUGUGGAAUUGGCAAGUUCUCGGGUUCUCGGAUCUGAGGACUGGUCGGUUCUACAGAACUCCCGGAGGGGCUGUUGGAUUUUUGGCAUUGCGAACAGCCAACUUGGAACUGUCGCCGACGAGGGGAAUCCAACUGUUUAAUUGAAACAUAGCAUUGAGACUCGCACGUUGAGGCAGUUUUUGACUCAAGGUGCGUCCUGCCCAGUGCUCUGAAUGUUAAUGCAAAGAGAUUUUAUCAAGCUCGGGUAAACGGCGGGAGUAACUAUGACUCUCUUAAGGUAGCCAAAUGCCUCGUCUUCUAACUAAAGACGCGCAUGAAUGGAUUAAUGAGAUUCCCACUGUCCCUGGUUACUAUCCAGCGAACCAACAGUCAAGGGAACGGGCUUGAAGUCUUCAGCGGGGAAAGAAGACCCUGUUGAGUUUGACUCUAAUCUGGACUUGUGCAGUGACAUUCGAGGUGUAGGAUAGGUGGGAGAUGCGCGAGCAUCAACGGUGAAAUACCACUACUCGGAUUGUUGCUUUGCUCAUCGCAUCGAAUAGGAACGGCAGUCGCCCAGCUUUUGCUGGGUUGAGGAUCUCCCCUCGGGGAGAUCCGUGGCUUUUCCGAUUCGAGCGGUAACCACAGAUCUUCUGUGGGACCUAUCGCUGCGAGACAUUGGCCAGAUGGGGAGUUUGGCUGGGGCGGCAUAUCUGUUAAACUCUAACGCAGGUGUCCUAAGGCACACUCAGUGAGAACAGAAAUCUUACGUGGCGGAUAAGGCCAAAAGUGUGCUUGAGCUCUCGAUCUCCAGUACUGAUCCAGACUGAAAAGCAAGGCCUAACGAUCCUUUGUACUCAUCAUGUUCAGAGUACGAAGUCAGAGGUGACAGAAAAAUUACCACAGGGAUAACUGGCUUGUGGCCGCCAAGAGUCCAUAUCGACGCUGCUUUUUGAUCCUUCGAUGUCGGCUCUUCCUAUCCUUACCCUGCAGAAGAGGUAAAGGGUUGGAUUGUUCACCCAUCAAAAGGGAACGUGAGCUGGGUUUAGACCGUCGUGAGACAGGUUGGUUUUACCCUACUGAAGAGUACAAGGCGUGUUGAAGGUAAUCUGGGGUAGUACGAGAGUAACUCCCAUUUCGUGCUGCUGGUUUCUGCCCCUGGCUGACCAACCAGUGGGGCGAAGCUACGCGCGAUGAUGUACGGCUGAAAGCCUCUUAAGCCAGAACUCAGUCCAGUGACACGCCCAUGCCUUGCGGCGUGGCUGAAACUGAAUUCUGACUCUGGGACUAACUCUCGUAGUAAGUCGCAUGGCCGGGAGCGCGACGAGCCACAAACAGCUGGCUUUGUUGUGCCUUGGCAAUAAAAAC